Molecule: long non-coding RNA, 1902 nt
Organism: Corythoichthys intestinalis (scribbled pipefish)
Lineage: Eukaryota; Metazoa; Chordata; Actinopteri; Syngnathiformes; Syngnathidae
Exons: 3
Source: RefSeq, a predicted model, not a curated record
GUACAGAAAAUAUAAAGCCAUUUUAUUUUGAAAGUGCAAUUAUUUUGUAAAAGGAAAUAGUUGUUGUUGUUUUACGCUUGACUUCCUCCUGUGAGUUCACAUGUGAGGAUAAUAGUAUUUUAAUUGGUCCGAUUAACAUGAUCCCGCCCUCUCGAGACAUCGUCUCGAAGGUUCUUUAUUUUACGUUCUUUUCCGCUUGGAUGCCAAAGAGGAAGGACGUAGUCAACUUCCUCAGCGCUUGGAGCCAAUAAGUCACCCUUCUAGAAAUAAAAUAAUUGACUCAACGCUGAAAUAAGGCCGUUUGAACAAAUAAUAAGAAGGAAAUUACAUUUCCUCGUGUAUGUGAACCGGAGGAUUGGAGCCUGCAUCCACCCAAGUUCACAUUAAAAGAAAAACUUCGUCUUGGCUGGGUUUUUUGUUUCCUCCUUUCAUUCCAUUCAUUGGACGUGGAUGAAGAAUUCGAAACUGGAUAAAGACACUGGAUAAAGACUUUUCCAACAGAUGAAGAUGGCGAGCUAAUGCCCGGAAACCAACUGAAUUGAAUUUAGACGGACUGUCUGGUUUGAAUUUUUGUUAUUUUAUUGUAUAUAUUUGUGUAUAUAUCGCCGGCUUAAAUUAUAAAUAGUUUUUGUAUUAAUACAAUUAUUUUGUUACUCAUCUCGACUCCAGUUAUUUCAGUUACUAAACAUUAUUUUCCUUAUUGUAAUCUCCGAGAACCUAGUUUUCUGCCCAAAUACAAUUGCAUUCAUAACAGAACCCCGUCAUCUCGAACCGGGGGUUACAAUUAGUAUUAGCGGUUAGCAUUUUUAGUUAAUGUUAGCUAAUACCAUAGGCAAUUAACGUCCACAUUAGCCAUUACAUAACCAAUAGGUUAACAGUUUAACCCAAGGCACACAUAGAACCGCCCCAUUUUUAAUUUUGGCAGCUUUGGUUCUCUAUAGUCAAGAAUUAUGACAGAACUUUAUAACAGCGAACUAAAGCAUCUUAUUUUUGAGAGGGGUACAUAAUAGGGUCAUUUAUAGUUGCAUAAUUUCAAUGAAGAAUUGUGUAAGGGGCUCUAUUACCUAAUGAAAAAAGAAUAAGUACAAAGUAUUUGUGGCAAAUUUAAACCCUUAACGCCAAUAUAUUUCCCAGCAAAAGCAGGAUAUGAACUUCACUUGGGGCCUAAGCUGUCCCCUUUAAUGUUAUUUUCCCAUGAUGCUGACACUGACAAUCCUGUCCUACUGGAUAAUAGAAUGGAAACAGUGUGAAAACAAUAGGCCAGAAGUUAUAACAGGCUUCGAGACUGACAUCAUGCGUUUCCUGUUGUUGACAAACUCUCCUGAUAAUCACACAUAUGCAUGAGUUCCCACACAUUUGUGUCGUAAAAGAAACCACCAACAUGAUGGAUUAAUUAAUUUUUUAACGGCAUUUUCCUUCUCUCUCUCUCUGUCUCUCUCUCUUACUCUCUCGCGUUCUUCUAUUUUUAAAGUUAUAUUUUUUUCUUCUUCUUAUAAGGGGUCUUUUUUUUAGGGUGCCAUUUGGACAUAACAGAGUGGACACUAACAGAGGGGGCAUUUUGUAUUAAAGUUAGCUCUUAGCCUAACUUUGCGAGCAUAAUAGCUAACAUGACUUUGGAUACUUCAUUUUACCAAUAAAGCUUUUGAAAUUAUUCAAUUGAUUUCUUUGAUAUAUAGCUUUAAAAAAGUGGGCACAUUAUGAUCAACCACAAUGAACGUACUUCAUAAAACUGCAAAAUCGGAUUUUCAAAGGAGGUAAAAAAUAAAAUUGCUUGCCACAGAUGAACCCGCCACUGGUGUGAUGUUAUCAUAGAAGAGUGCUGUAGGGGUGUGACAAAAUAUUAAAAUGGUGAUACAGUGGGGCAAAUGAGUAUUGAGUCAACAACUAAUUGUGCAAGUUCUC